AAAAUUAAAUAGAUAAAGCCGGAGACAGCAGGUGCUAAUAGCUUAAUACCCUGCCGAGGUUGUAAUUUUAACUAUCUGAAGUUUGAACAGUAAAACUGUGACAACGACAGUAUUAAAAAUACCACUUUGAAACCCUGGCUAAGUUAGCUGGGGUUAAUUGUUUUCGGU
This is a non-coding RNA of Aphanizomenon flos-aquae, 168 nucleotides long. The record is from Rfam. NCBI's taxonomy places the organism in Bacteria, Bacillati, Cyanobacteriota, Cyanophyceae, Nostocales, Aphanizomenonaceae.